Molecule: small nucleolar RNA, 108 nt
Organism: Pistacia vera
Lineage: Eukaryota; Viridiplantae; Streptophyta; Magnoliopsida; Sapindales; Anacardiaceae
Source: RefSeq, a predicted model, not a curated record
AAACAAUGGUGUGGACACUUCCUAAAACAUUUCCUUGUAUCUCUCUCAUGCUUCAUAUAAUUAUUCAUGGUUGCUUUGUACAAACGAGGUAAUGUCAUUUCUCAUCUU